GGACCCGACUGCUAUCGGGGUGGGACUAAGCCGUGCGAGUCAGCGCCCCUAGCCACGGUGGGGCGCGGCGUACGGCUCCGUAAAAUACGGCUAACCUACCCUCAGGACAGGGAUAACCUCGGGAAACUGAGGCUAAUCCCUGAUAGAUGAGGGACCCUGGAACGNUCCCUCAUCUAAAGGAUCCCAAGACCAUGCUCUUGGGAUCGCUUGAGGAUGGGGCCGUGGCCUAUCAGGUUGACGGUGAGGUAACGGCUCACCGUGCCUAUAACGGGUACGGGCCGUGAGAGCGGGAGCCCGGAGAUGGGCACUGAGACAAGGGCCCAGGCCCUACGGGNCGCAGNAGGCGNGAAACCUCCGCAAUGCGCUAACGCGCGACGGGGUCACCCCGAGUACCAGCCGCUGAGGCUGGCUUUUCCCCAGUGUAAAACGCUGGGGGNAUAAGCGGGGGGC
This 450-nucleotide ribosomal RNA is filed under the name uncultured crenarchaeote. RNAcentral describes it as "bacterial SSU rRNA". It matches the Rfam family "Archaeal small subunit ribosomal RNA", at positions 19 to 447 of the family's 1478-position model. Lineage: Archaea; Thermoproteati; Thermoproteota. The record is from RNAcentral.